This 895-nucleotide ribosomal RNA is filed under the name uncultured bacterium. RNAcentral describes it as "bacterial SSU rRNA". It matches the Rfam family "Bacterial small subunit ribosomal RNA", at positions 8 to 916 of the family's 1533-position model. The record is from RNAcentral.
AGAGUUUGAUCAUGGCUCAGGAUGAACGCUGGCGGCGUGCUUAACACAUGCAAGUCGAACGAUUAAAGCCCGCUUCGGUGGGUGUAUAGAGUGGCGAACGGGUGAGUAACACGUGGGCAAUCUGCCCCUCACUUCGGGAUAACUCAGGGAAACCUGAGCUAAUACCGGAUACUCCGGGAUGGUCGCAUGGCCGACCCGGGAAAGUUCCGGCGGUGAGGGAUGAGCCCGCGGCCCAUUAGCUUGUUGGUGAGGUAACGGCUCACCAAGGCGACGAUGGGUAGCCGAGCUGAGAGGCUGAUCGGCCACACUGGGACUGAGACACGGCCCAGACUCCUACGGGAGGCAGCAGUGGGGAAUCUUGCGCAAUGGGCGAAAGCCUGACGCAGCAACGCCGCGUGCGGGAUGAAGGCCUUCGGGUUGUAAACCGCUUUCAGCAGUGACGAAUCUGACUGUACCUGCAGAAGAAGCCCCGGCUAACUACGUGCCAGCAGCCGCGGUAAUACGUAGGGGGCAAGCGUUAUCCGGAUUCAUUGGGCGUAAAGCGCGCGUAGGCGGCUUGUUAAGUCAGGUGUGAAAACCGGGGGCUCAACCCGCGGCCUGCACCUGAAACUGGCAGGCUUGAGUCUGGUAGAGGGAAAUGGAAUUCCGAGUGUAGCGGUGAAAUGCGCAGAUAUUCGGAAGAACACCAGUGGCGAAGGCGGUUUCCUGGGCCACGACUGACGCUGAGGCGCGAAAGCUAGGGGAGCGAACAGGAUUAGAUACCCUGGUAGUCCUAGCCGUAAACGAUGGGCACUAGGUGUGGGGGGUCAUCAACUCCCUCCGUGCCGCAGCUAACGCAUUAAGUGCCCCGCCUGGGGAGUACGGCCGCAAGGCUAAAACUCAAAGGAAUUGACGG